This 429-nucleotide ribosomal RNA is filed under the name Chloroflexota bacterium. Its description in RNAcentral is "Chloroflexi bacterium partial 16S ribosomal RNA". It matches the Rfam family "Bacterial small subunit ribosomal RNA", at positions 355 to 776 of the family's 1533-position model. Lineage: Bacteria; Bacillati; Chloroflexota. The record is from RNAcentral.
UGGGGAAUAUUGCACAAUGGGCGCAAGCCUGAUGCAGCCAUGCCGCGUGUAUGAAGAAGGCCUUCGGGUUGUAAAGUACUUUCAGUCGGGAGGAAGGUGACAAGGUUAAUAACCUUGGCAAUUGACGUUACCGACAGAAGAAGCACCGGCUAACUCCGUGCCAGCAGCCGCGGUAAUACGGAGGGUGCAAGCGUUAAUCGGAAUUACUGGGCGUAAAGCGCACGCAGGCGGUUGAUUGAGUCAGAUGUGAAAUCCCCGGGCUUAACCCGGGAAUUGCAUCUGAUACUGGUCAGCUAGAGUCUUGUAGAGGGGGGUAGAAUUCCAUGUGUAGCGGUGAAAUGCGUAGAGAUGUGGAGGAAUACCGGUGGCGAAGGCGGCCCCCUGGACAAAGACUGACGCUCAGGUGCGAAAGCGUGGGGAGCAAACAGG